Molecule: ribosomal RNA, 310 nt
Filed under: Podarcis cretensis
Lineage: Eukaryota; Metazoa; Chordata; Lepidosauria; Squamata; Lacertidae
Description: partial large subunit ribosomal RNA
Rfam family: Bacterial large subunit ribosomal RNA
Source: RNAcentral
GAAAUUGAUCCUUCAGUACAAAAGCUGAAAUUAACCCAUAAGACGAGAAGACCCUGUGGAGCUUCAAAACCAAAACCACUAAACAUGCCUCCUGGUUUUUUAGUUGGGGCGACUUUGGAGCAAAAAAAACCCUCCAAAACAUAAAUCUAUUUAUUAAGAACAACACACCAAAAAUAAUAUUAUAGACCCAGCAGUAUUAAUUUACUGUCUGAUCAAUGAACCAAGUUACCCCAGGGAUAACAGCGCUAUCCUCUUCUAGAGUCCUUAUCGACAAGGGGGUUUACGACCUCGAUGUUGGAUCAGGACACCC